This is a long non-coding RNA of Electrophorus electricus (electric eel), 813 nucleotides long. RefSeq lists it as uncharacterized. NCBI's taxonomy places the organism in Eukaryota, Metazoa, Chordata, Actinopteri, Gymnotiformes, Gymnotidae. The record is from RefSeq and is a predicted model, not a curated record.
CUUCGUUUAGCGGUCGCCAAUAUUUCGCUCCGCUUAACUGACAGCACUCCACGAUAUGACGGUGAUCAAGAUAAAUAACUUUUACUCAGGAAUAUUUUUGUGCAUCAUUAAACAUGGCAAACAUUUUAGCUAGCACAGAGUGCUGGAGGAUCGCCCGUGCAGCCGUCCCCGUGUGCGAUGCUCUGUGCUAAUCAUAAAAGGACACGAGACUCUCCAACCCCGCGAACAUCAAAGCAAGAUGAGAAAUGCACCGCGCGCUCCGAGAACCCUUAACCGUAAAGACGCUCUUUGCAUGCAGACCAGAUAUAAUACAAAACAGCAGCACCACCCAGUCUGGGGAUCUGGGUUGAGUGGAGUACUUCCUCUAGGCCAGGCCCAGCACCUUUUCGAAGUGCUGUGCAUGCAGUAUGGGCGUGGCUAUUGUGGGAACUUCGACUGCUCUCUUCCUUGCGAGUGACCUGAGGACCCGAGACUAUGUCCAGGAUUCACCAGUGCUCCUGCAGAUGGACAGGAGAGAGGACCUAAACUAUCCUGUGCAUCACAAGAGUAUGGCUGCUUGUGUGCUAAACUCAGGUCGGCAGUAAGGAACACCAUCUUUGAUUUCAUACUGCUGAUCAUAAUGCUUAGGAUAGCAAUAAUUAAUAUUCAUAUUAAGAAUCUCCAUUUCGUUAUACCAGGCCUGUUUUUUUUUUUUGUUUUUUUUUGCACGUAUUUAGUUUUUUAUGUACACCUUAGAAUCAGUAUCUUGACACAGGAGAAUUUGCAUGUCAUGUAUCUCUAAAAUAAAAAAAGAAAGAAAAGACUCUUGGAUAA